Malania oleifera is the source of this 2193-nucleotide long non-coding RNA. RefSeq lists it as uncharacterized. The transcript has 2 exons. NCBI's taxonomy places the organism in Eukaryota, Viridiplantae, Streptophyta, Magnoliopsida, Santalales, Ximeniaceae. The record is from RefSeq and is a predicted model, not a curated record.
AGCCAGGUCCUCCCCUUUUGGUGCUGGGUAGGGCAGCCCUCUCUCUCUCCCUUAUAUAUUGUUUUCUUCCAAUCUCCAACUCUCCUCCCUCUCCUUCCCUUCUCUUCUCUCUCCCUCUCGGCUCUCCCUUCCUCCCAGCUCCCUCUCUUACGCUCCUUUCUCUCUAAUUCUCUCCUAUCUUCUCUUUUCUCUCACUCUUGGCCUCCCCUUCUCUUCCUUUCUUCCUUUUCCCCUUACUUCUCUCCUCUCCCUUGCUGCUAGCUUAAAGCUUCAUUGUUGUCAUACCCAGUGCUACUAUCUCCCAUAGUUGUUGCUACGUGUGGCUGCCAAGGAUCUGAGACUCCUCACUUGUUGUUUGCAAGCCCAAAAAUUCGAAGUUGUUGUUGUGUUUCCAUGAAGACCCAAGCCGAUUGCUACUAUCCUGCCAUAGCCGAAGUUGCUAUGCUACCCAUGGAUUUGGCUACUGCUGCUGGAGACCACGGCUGUAGCUGUUAAGGAAGACUUGAGCACCUACGCUGUUGUGUGCUUUGUGGACUACUGCUAUAUGGCUAAAUGGAUCCAGGGAACAGUAACACGAGUACGAGAGGUGAUGGAGCAGGACCUUCCAGUAUGGGUGGCGGAGACCCUGAUGCAGUAUUACGUAGCAUCACCCAGCAAGUUUUGGUUGAGAUGGGUAGGAGCUCGAGGGAGCAAAGCUGCAGGAUCGAGCAGUGCACGUGUAUGCGACCCCCAUCUUUUGCUAGAUGGGCGGACCCACUAGUAGCUGAAAACCGGGUCCAGGACAUAGAGGAUAUAUUGGCAGUCCUCUCGUGUACAGAUCCUCUCGUGUACAGAUGAGCAGAGGGUGUUAUUUGCCACAUUUAAAUUGACUAAGAAAGCAAAGCACUAGUGGAGGUUGGUGAGAUUAUUGGAGGAGCAGAGGCUUGACCCUGUGGCAAUGAUGUGGAGUCGCUUCAGAGAGAUCUUCUUUGAGCGGUACUUCUCUACUAUGGUCAGGAGUGCAAAGGUAUUAGAGUUUCUGUAUCUGACAUAGGGGCUUAUGACGGUGCAGUAGUAUACAACGACAUUCAUUUCCAUUUAAAUUACUCAAUUAUUCCAAUUAAUUUUUUUAAAAAUAAAUAAUAAUAAAAAUUCAUUUCCAUUUAAGUUAAUGAAGUGUAAACCACGGGAAAAAAUUAUUAGAUUAAUAAAGACAAUGUCACCCACACAAAUAUUUGUUAUACUAGAACAAAAAAAAUUAUAUUAAUUAAACAUAUGGUCUUCAAAUAACUUAUUAAUUCAAUUGUUUAUAGCCGUUAUAAAGAUAUUAAUUCAAUUAUUAUUAGUAGUUAAAAAAUUAAAUUAUAAAUUUCAAAAUAUAGGAAAUUAAGAUUAGGCUAAUGCUUUGCCUACUCCCUAUGAAGCCUAAUGGGCUUCAUAGCGUGGCAGCGUAACACAAAGAUAAUUAAAUCAUUCUUGAGACCUUGAUUAACAACUAUAUUUUCUUUUUGAUAAAUUUGUUUCUUGAUUAAAUGCAUGAAACAGGGGAAAAAAAAAAAAAAGUAGAACCCAUUAAUGUUAUCUCCUAACAAUAAGACAUUCAAACAAACAACUAGCACUUCGACUUUUUUGAACAUUAAAGGCAACUUUGCAUUAAAGGCAACUUGAAAACAUCUUAAGAUAUCAACCAUACAAAAAAGUCGCUUAAUUUACGAUAGUGCAGCUCCAACUAUAUAUAUAGUGGCCUUAUGAUUUUAACUAGUCACCACACUCCUAGAUAGCCAAUCGAGCUACAUGUCUUAUGGUCAUGGAUAUAAGUACUUAGAACAUAAGGCUAACAUACAGUAGCAAUGCUUUAUUCUAGUUUAAACACCGAAAUUACACAGCUAUACUUUUGGCUAAUGGGGCGGAUGACCAAUGCCUGGGCUCGGGCCCGGUGUUGUAGGCGGAUGUUUGGCUAAUGUUUCAGAGUGGAGAAUAAAGUUUGUGGCAGUACGAUCUUUCCCCAUUUCAUUCCAAUAGUUGCCAACGUUCUCUAUCUUCAUGAAUUGCCUCCCUUCAGAAGACAUGAUUCCAUGAUGAAUCAAAACUAGUAUAACAAGGAAAGCACAACUGAUGGAAGGAAACUUGAUUUUGGCCAUGAUCUGGGUUGGGUUAGCUAGAGAGAAGUAGUGAUAGGUAGAAUAGCCCUUCAACUCUUACUGCUUUGAGGAU